Molecule: non-coding RNA, 113 nt
Filed under: Microcebus murinus (gray mouse lemur)
Lineage: Eukaryota; Metazoa; Chordata; Mammalia; Primates; Cheirogaleidae
Source: RNAcentral
GACCGGUCUGCCUGGAGUGAAUUCUGACCAUAAACCAGAAAUAAUCAAGUGUUAAAGAAAAAUUUCUAAAGAAAGACUUUAGCCCCCCCACUGCUAAAUUUGACUGGCUUUAA